RNAcentral lists this ribosomal RNA (423 nucleotides) under uncultured bacterium. Its description in RNAcentral is "bacterial SSU rRNA". It matches the Rfam family "Bacterial small subunit ribosomal RNA", at positions 355 to 775 of the family's 1533-position model. The record is from RNAcentral.
UGAGGAAUAUUGGUCAAUGGGCGCAACCCUGAACCAGCCAUCCCGCUUGCAGGAAGACGGCCCUAUGGGUUUUAAACUCCUUUUCCAGGGGAAGAAUUUUUCUUUCGUGACAGGAAUUGACGUUACCCUGGGAAUAAGCAUCGCCUAACUCCGUGCCACCAGCCGCGGUAAUACGGAGGAUGCGAGCUUUAUCCGGAUUUAUUGGGUUUAAAGGGUGCGUAGGCGGAUUGAUAAGUCAGUGGUGAAAACCUGCAGCUUAACUGUAGACUUGACGUUGAUACUGUCAGUCUUGAGUGUGGUCAAGGUAGGCGGAAUGUGUAAUGUAGCGGUGAAAUGCUUAGAUAUUACACAGAACACCGAUUGCGAAGGCAGCUUACUGGGCCAUUACUGACGCUGAUGCACGAAAGCGUGGGGAUCGAACAG